This 74-nucleotide transfer RNA is filed under the name Acidobacteriota bacterium. Its description in RNAcentral is "Acidobacteria bacterium tRNA-Gln". It matches the Rfam family "tRNA". Rfam says of the family: Transfer RNA (tRNA) molecules are approximately 80 nucleotides in length. Their secondary structure includes four short double-helical elements and three loops (D, anti-codon, and T loops). The record is from RNAcentral. Lineage: Bacteria; Pseudomonadati; Acidobacteriota. RNAcentral also lists the same sequence under 1 other name.
GCCGAGGUCGUUCAAUGGCAGGACGAAGGUCUUUGAAGCCUUCUAUGUUGGUUCGAUUCCAGCCCUCGGUGCCA